Molecule: ribosomal RNA, 545 nt
Filed under: uncultured bacterium
Lineage: Bacteria
Description: bacterial SSU rRNA
Rfam family: Bacterial small subunit ribosomal RNA
Source: RNAcentral
AAUAGAUACCCCGGUAGUCCACCCCGUAAACGUUGGGAACUAGUUGUGGGGUCCUUUCCACGGAUUCCGUGACGCAGCUAACGCAUUAAGUUCCCCGCCUGGGGAGUACGGCCGCAAGGCUAAAACUCAAAGGAAUUGACGGGGACCCGCACAAGCGGCGGAGCAUGCGGAUUAAUUCGAUGCAACGCGAAGAACCUUACCAAGGCUUGACAUACACGAGAACACUCUGGAAACAGGGGACUCUUUGGACACUCGUGAACAGGUGGUGCAUGGUUGUCGUCAGCUCGUGUCGUGAGAUGUUGGGUUAAGUCCCGCAACGAGCGCAACCCUCGUUCUAUGUUGCCAGCACGUUAUGGUGGGAACUCAUGGGAUACUGCCGGGGUCAACUCGGAGGAAGGUGGGGAUGACGUCAAAUCAUCAUGCCCCUUAUGUCUUGGGCUUCACGCAUGCUACAAUGGCCGGUACAAAGGGCUGCAAUACCGUGAGGUGGAGCGAAUCCCAAAAAGCCGGUCCCAGUUCGGAUUGAGGUCUGCAACUCGACCUCA